This is a small nuclear RNA of Callithrix jacchus (white-tufted-ear marmoset), 104 nucleotides long. Lineage: Eukaryota; Metazoa; Chordata; Mammalia; Primates; Cebidae. The record is from Ensembl.
UUGCUUCCUUCGGCAGCACAGAUACUAAAAUUGGACCGAUAUAGAGGUGAGCCUGGCCCCUGUGCCAGGAUGACAUGCAAAUUUGUGAAGCAUUCCAUGAAAAA